Long non-coding RNA from Teleopsis dalmanni, 417 nucleotides. RefSeq lists it as uncharacterized. NCBI's taxonomy places the organism in Eukaryota, Metazoa, Arthropoda, Insecta, Diptera, Diopsidae. The transcript is spliced from 2 exons. The record is from RefSeq and is a predicted model, not a curated record.
UCAGCAAGACCUAACUACUCAAUUCUUUUAUUAGCCUGGGUAGAAAAUUUUAGAAGUUACUUAAAAUUUUGCAAUGGAUUAUUUAUGUGAUGUUGUACUUGUACUGAAAAAAAUUAUUGUUUGGAAUUUGUAUAUCUAUGUUAUAACGUCAAACUGUUUGGAAAGAAGCUUUUCUAUUCUGAAACUUGUCGAAGAAACUGUCAAAAAAAGAAGGACUGCUGGUUGUACUAUAAUGGAUUAGUAAUGGUACAUUCAUUUCGGUUAACGAGGUGUAAGCAGAGCAAGUGUUUGAUGCUAUAUAUAUAAGCGCUUCCCAGUGUAUGACUUAUAACGAAAUUGACGUAUACAAUUGACUGCAUGAAAUUUGUUUUUUCUAUUGACAUAUUUUUAAAAAAUAUAUUUCAAUUGCAAAUAUAA